GGGCUCUUAGCUCAUAUGGUAGAGCGCUCGCUUCGCAUGUGUAGGAUGUUCAGAAUUGAUUGCAAGAGGUAAUGGGUUCAAUUCCCAUAGAGUCCA
Non-coding RNA from Gymnopilus junonius, 96 nucleotides. The record is from the annotation of a GenBank genome assembly. NCBI's taxonomy places the organism in Eukaryota, Fungi, Basidiomycota, Agaricomycetes, Agaricales, Galerinaceae.